AGGAUGUUACUGCUAUUUACAAAAUCUGCAAGACAGAGAUGUACUUGUACAAGACUUCAUGAAGUGGUAUGUUUGUGGCCGAACAAGAAAUUCCCUGGAAAGGUUAAAAGAGGGAUUGAAGACGCUUGGUGUGCUUGACGCCAUUGUUGCACAUCCUGUUCUUUUCGCCAAUUAAUUUUGCUGGAGGGAGGAAGUGCUCACAUCUGAACAGUUUUCAGAAUUGUUCAAAAUAUCAUUCAGCACUGCUGGAAGUAAUAAAAGACGUGAGGAACAACGAAUUGUGGGCUAUUGGAGAGAUUACCUACAGGAUGUGGAAGAUGCGGAGUCCAACGUGUCAUUAAGACAGAUUCUAGCAUUCAUUACAGGAGCAGACAAAGAGCCACCUCUUGGUUUUCAACCACAACUGUCUGUUGAGUUCCUGCAUGAGAAUAAUGAAG
Long non-coding RNA from Acipenser ruthenus (sterlet), 437 nucleotides. RefSeq lists it as uncharacterized. NCBI's taxonomy places the organism in Eukaryota, Metazoa, Chordata, Actinopteri, Acipenseriformes, Acipenseridae. The transcript has 3 exons. The record is from RefSeq and is a predicted model, not a curated record.